This 1491-nucleotide ribosomal RNA is filed under the name uncultured Bordetella sp. RNAcentral describes it as "partial 16S-23S ribosomal RNA intergenic spacer". It matches the Rfam family "Bacterial small subunit ribosomal RNA". The record is from RNAcentral. Lineage: Bacteria; Pseudomonadati; Pseudomonadota; Betaproteobacteria; Burkholderiales; Alcaligenaceae.
CUGGGAGCACUUGCAACAGAGAGUUUGAUCCUCAUGGCUCAGAUUGAACGCUGGCGGGAUGCUUUACACAUGCAAGUCGAACGGCAGCACGGACUUCGGUCUGGUGGCGAGUGGCGAACGGGUGAGUAAUGGUAUCGGAACGUGCCUAGUAGCGGGGGAUAACUACGCGAAAGCAAGCACACCGCAUACGCCCUUCGGGGGAAAGCGGGGACCUUCGGGCCUCGCACUAUUAGAGCGGUCAGAUAUCGGAUUAGCUAGUUGGUGGGUAACGGCUCACCAAGGCGACGAUCCGUAGCUGGUUUGAGAGGGACGACCAGCCACACUGGGACUGGAGACACGGCCCAGACUCCUACGGAGGCAGCAGUGGGGAAUUUUGGACAAUGGGAAACUCCUGAUCCAGCCAUCCUGCGUGUGCGAUGAAGGCCUUCGGUUGUGAAGUAAUCUUUGGCAGUGAAAGAAAACGGUACGGGAUAAUACCGUGCAACUGACGGUACCUGCAGAAUAAGCACUGGCUAACUACGCCAGCAGCCGCGGUAAUACGUAGGGUGCAAGCGUUAAUCGGAAUUACUGGGCGCAAAGCGCGCAGGCGGUUCGGAAAGAAAGAUGUAAAAUCCCAGAGCUUAACUUUGGAACUGCAUUUUUAACUACCGAGCUAGAGUGUGUCAGAGGGAGGUGGAAUUCCGCGUAGCAGUGAAAUGCGUAGAUAUGCGGAGGAACACCGAUGGCGAAGGCAGCCUCCUGGGAUAACACUGACGCUCAUGCACGAAAAAAGCGUGGGAGCAAACAGGAUUAGAUACCCUGGUAGUCCACGCCCCAACGAUGUCAACUAGCCGUUGGGGCCUUCUGGCCUCGGUAGCGGCAGCUAAUGCGUGAAGUUGACCGCCUGGGGAGUACGGUCGCAAGAUUAAAACUCAAAGGAAUUGACGGGGACCUGCACAAGCGGUGGAUGAUGUGGAUUAAUUCGAUGCAACGCGAAAACCUUACCUACCCUUGACAUGUCUGGAAUCCCGAAGAGAUUUGGGAGUGUCUGCAAGAGAACCGGAACACAGGUGCUGCAUGGCUGUCGUCAGCUCGUGUCGUGAGAUGGGUUAAGUCCCGCAACGGCGCAACCCUUUGUCAUUGCUACGAGCGGGCACCCCAUCGAGACUGCCGGUGACAAACCGGAGGAAGGUGGGGAUGACGUCAAGUCCUCAUGGCCCUUAUGGGUAGGGCUUCACACGCCAUACAAUGGUCGGGACAGAGGGUCGCCAACCCGCGAGGGGAGCCAAUCCUAGAAACCCGAUCGUAGUCCGGAUCGCAGUCUGCAACUCGACUGCGUGAAGUCGGAAUCGCUAGUAAUCGCGAUCAGCAUGUCGCGCAGUCAUUGCCCGGGUCUUGUACACACCGCCCGUCACACCAUGGGAGUGGGUUCACAGAAGUAGUUAGCCUAACCGUAAGGAGGGCGAUUACCACGGUAGGAUUCAUGACCGGGGUGAAGUCGUAACAAGGCAG